Molecule: long non-coding RNA, 2439 nt
Filed under: Malus domestica (apple)
Lineage: Eukaryota; Viridiplantae; Streptophyta; Magnoliopsida; Rosales; Rosaceae
Description: long non-coding RNA (MDOM_LNC017277)
Source: RNAcentral
GGCAAAUAUGUAAUAAGUGAGGAGUCCUUAUUCUAUAAAAGGACCCCUUACCCUCACAAUUAGGGGAGGCUAUUUCUGAGGCCAAUUCCUAAGGCUCUUCACCCCCUCAAGCUCUCACUCUCAGAGCUCUCUCUUCCUCAAAUAAAUACAUAAUCAGUGUGGACGUAGCCCAAACCUUGGGGUGAAUCACGAUACAUCUUGUGUUAUUUACAUUUCUUGCAGAUUCACGGUCGGAUUUACGUUGUUCCAAGACCUCUGGUUUUGUGUAUCAACACAACCUUCGAAAAAUAUGAUGGAAUCUUUCCUCGUCAGCAAAUUUGAUCUUAUUUUAGUUGAAUAAAUGGAAGCCCACCAAAGUAGAGCAAAUUUCUGAGUUCAUAUUAAAUGGCGAAAUUUGAAUUUCACAAGAAAAAAUGAUAUUAAAGUCGAGUUGCAGAAGGAAAAGUUUGAAUUUCAUACACAUUUUUCUCCUUGUGUACACUUUAUUUAUUUGUCACUUAAUUAUUUUUUAGCUUGUCCAAUCUAAAAGGAUAAAUCAAAUCCUUAGAGUUGAUGAAUUCAUUGUAAGUUUGAUAUGUAACCAAAACAUGGGUUGAAAAUGGUUGUCGCUUGCCUAAAGAGUGGUAGAAUCCUAAAGUCUUUGGGCUUCCUAGCAACAAUUCCAUUCAGCUUGGUCUUCUAUAUCCAUCUCUGACCACAAUACAUUUUUGGCCACCAAGUUUUAAAAUUUCUCUCUGACCUUUUUUUUUUGGCCAUCUUUUUAUUUUAUUUUAUCAAAUAAUAGAUUUGUUAGAUUAGAUAUUAGAUUAAGGAGUCAACAAUGUUCAAACCCGCACCAUGAUGCAAAUGCAAUACUCAUCUCUAACACUAUAGUAAAGAGCCACUUACUUUUGUCAUCUCUCUUUAUUUAUUUACGUUGGAACGAUGGAAGAAAGCACGUAACCAAUAAUUGAAAAUAUGUUUACCCAAAAGAAAUUGAAAAUAUUAAUAUAUAACAAACCAAUUAUGAUGAUGCUUUGGUCAAGAAGAAAUUUUUUUGAUGACGGCUUGGAUUUUGUGGGGGAUACAUGACCAAGUUUCAGUGAAUUGUUUCUUAAAAAAAGAAAAGCACUUCAAGCUUACUUUAAUCCAAGCAUUAAGCCCAUUGGUGUAUGGAGACAUGUGUCUUGGUGGGUAAAAGAUCUUGGUAGGUCAUCACACUCAGCUCUUCCACACUGGAUUAGAGUUUAUGCGGUCUCCGCGUCCCACUCAUAGCUCGUUGCCUUAAAUGUAAUUAAAAUUAGAGAAAUUAGAUUGAAAAGAAACUGAUUUUUUUACUGUGAGUUGAAGGGUUCGUUUGGAUGUACUUUUAAAAUAACUGAAAACAUUUUUAGAGAAAAUAUUUUUUGGUUUCAAAAGCACUUAAAAUGUUUUCUGCAAGAAGCAUCAGUUAUGUGCUUCUUCCAGGAAGCACUUUUAGUGUUUUUUUUCUUCAGAAUUUACUUGCAUUUUUACUAAGAAUUGAUUCCAAAAACAUUUUCACCAAAAACAUUUUCACCAAAAACGCUUUCAGUCAUUUUAAAAAUACAUCCAAACGAGCUUGAAAUUUUUUAUUUCAAUGAAUUUGAAGCAAACUCUCACAAAGAACCAUAAAACUUGAAUCCAAUCAACAAGGGUUCAAUCAUUAAGGGCUCGUUUACUAAUCCGUAAUCAAGUUGAAGGAAAUUGAAUUAAGGAGGAAUUGGAUUGAGGAUGAAACAGAAUUAGAUUAUUGUUAAAGUUGUUUACUAAACUAAACUGGAAUCGGAAUACAAAUGAUAUUGGUUCUGUAUAUAUUGUUUACUAAUUCACUGGAAUCGGAAUUAAAACUAGCUUGAUUACUAAAAUGUCCUUGUUGAAAAUAAUUUAUUUUUAUACUAUAAUUAUUGAAAAUUAAGUUUAUCUAUAUAAAAUUAAAUUUAUCUUUACAAAUUUUAUCUUUUCUCCCUCCCAUCCUCUCAUCCCUAUCUUUUCUUCACCAACUUCCAGAGCACUCCCAGUCUCCCACGCAUCUUCGUUUGAACAGUGGUAAAUUUCUUGUAGCAAGAGAGACAACAAUUAGCAGAGGAGCAAGCCCGGGCAUCCACCCUUACAUCUGUAAAGCAAGAAUUGGAGGAAAAGCUUGCAACUAUGUCUAGAAAGGCUUCAGGUACCAAAGCCAUCCAAAUGUACAUUUCUACACCAUAAAGAAUUUCAGAUGUUCAAGUUAUAAAAUGGAGAGGGCUUUAUGCCUUGCUGCCUUUUUCUUUCCCAGCCCACACAUCCCAUCCCACCACAUAUCAUACUCACAGGUCUUCCAUGCUCCCCCAAUCCUCCAUAUCUUUUUCUUCCUAGCCCUCACAACAUCCCAUAUUCACAAAUACACCCACUAUGUAACAUCCCACAUUAUCCAGGGGAGUGGAUCAUUUAUGCUUUAUAUGU